GACGAACGCUGGCGGCGUGCUUAACACAUGCAAGUCGAACGGAAAGGCCCAGCUUUCUUGGUACUCUAGUGUCGAACGGGUGUGUAACACGUGUGUGUACUCUGCCUUACUUUUUGAUAUACCUUGAAAACUCUGUCGAAUACCCCAGAUAGCCUUUCAUCCCACGUUGUUUGGUUGGAAGCUUUUGCGGUUGUGGAUGUGCGCGCGGCGUAUCAGCUUGUUGGUGGGGUAUUGGCAUACCAAGGCGCCGACGGGUAGCCGGCCUGAGAGGGUGACCGGCCACAUUGGGACUGAGAGACGGCCCAGACUCCUACGGGAGGCAGCAGUGGGGAAUAUUGCACAAUGGGCGCAAGCCUGAUGCAGCAACGCCGCGUGCGGGAUGACGGCCUUCGGGUUGUAAACCGCUUUCACCUGGGACGAAGCGUGAGUGACGGUAACUGGAGAAGAAGCACCGGCUAACUACGUG
This 466-nucleotide ribosomal RNA is filed under the name uncultured bacterium. Its description in RNAcentral is "partial 16S ribosomal RNA". It matches the Rfam family "Bacterial small subunit ribosomal RNA", at positions 28 to 507 of the family's 1533-position model. The record is from RNAcentral.